GGGUCUCUAUGGGUCACUAUGGGUCUCUAUGGGUCAAUAUGGGUCUCUAUGGGGCAAUAUGGGGGGCUAUGGGGCCAUCAGUGGGUCUCUAUGGGUCAAUAUGGGUCUCUAUGGGGCAAUAUGGGUCAAUAUGGGGAGCUAUGGGUCAAUAUGGGGAGCUAUGGGGUAAUAUGGGGUGCUAUGGGGCAAUAUGGGGUGUUAUAGGGCAAUAUGGGAUGCUAUGGGGCACUGUGGGCCAAUAUGGGUCCCUAUGGGGCAAUAUACGGUGUUAUGGGGUGCUAUGGGGCAAUAUGGGGUGCUAUGGGGCCAUCA
Molecule: long non-coding RNA, 312 nt
Filed under: Coturnix japonica (Japanese quail)
Lineage: Eukaryota; Metazoa; Chordata; Aves; Galliformes; Phasianidae
Description: lncRNA (ENSCJPG00005002719.1)
Source: RNAcentral